Molecule: ribosomal RNA, 587 nt
Filed under: Tricholoma matsutake
Lineage: Eukaryota; Fungi; Basidiomycota; Agaricomycetes; Agaricales; Tricholomataceae
Description: eukaryotic LSU rRNA
Rfam family: 5.8S ribosomal RNA (bases 218-371)
Source: RNAcentral
GCGUAACAAGGUCUCCGUUGGUGAACCAGCGGAGGGAUCAUUACUGAGUUAUCUAAACUCCCAACCCUUUGUGAACCUUACCGUCGUUGCCUCGGCGGGCUGUACUUACCCUGUAGCUACCCUGUAGCUACCCGGUAGGUGCGCUCCAAGCCCGCCGGUGGACCACUAAAUUCUAUUUUACUACUGUAUCUCUGAAUGCUUCAACUUAAUAAGUUAAAACUUUCAACAACGGAUCUCUUGGUUCUGGCAUCGAUGAAGAACGCAGCGAAAUGCGAUAAGUAAUGUGAAUUGCAGAAUUCAGUGAAUCAUCGAAUCUUUGAACGCACAUUGCGCCCAUUAGUAUUCUAGUGGGCAUGCCUAUUCGAGCGUCAUUUCAACCCUUAAGCCUAGUUGCUUAGUGUUGGGAAUCUGCCCUGUAUUUAUAGGGCAGUUCCUUAAAGUGAUCGGCGGAGUUAGGGCAUACUCUAAGCGUAGUAAUAUUCUUCUCGCUUCUGUAGUUGUCCUGGCGGCUUGCCGUUAAACCCCUAUAUUUCUAGUGGUUGACCUCGGAUUAGGUAGGAAUACCCGCUGAACUUAAGCAUAUCAAU